Molecule: ribosomal RNA, 502 nt
Filed under: uncultured bacterium
Lineage: Bacteria
Description: partial 16S ribosomal RNA
Rfam family: Bacterial small subunit ribosomal RNA
Source: RNAcentral
GACGAACGCUGGCGGCGUGCUUAACACAUGCAAAUCGAACGGUGAAGGGGUCUGCUUUUGUGGGCCCUGGAUGAGUGGCGAACGGGUGAGUAACACGUGAGUAACCUGCCCCCUUCUUCUGGAUAACCGCAUGAAAGUGUGGCUAAUACGGGAUAUUCUGGGUCUGUCGCAUGAUGGGUCUGGGAAAGAUUGCGCCUUUGGGUGUUUUUGGUGGGGGAUGGGCUCGCGGCCUAUCAGCUUGUUGGUGGGGUGAUGGCCUACCAAGGCGGUGACGGGUAGCCGGCCUGAGAGGGUGGACGGUCACACUGGGACUGAGACACGGCCCAGACUCCUACGGGAGGCAGCAGUGGGGAAUAUUGCACAAUGGGCGCAAGCCUGAUGCAGCGACGCCGCGUGAGGGAUGGAGGCCUUCGGGUUGUAAACCUCUUUCGCCAGUGAAGCAGGCCUGCUCCUUGUGGGUGGGUUGACGGUAGCUGGAUAAGAAGCGCCGGCUAACUACGUG